GUAGAGUGAUCGAAAGAUGAAAAGCACUUUGAAAAGAGGGUUAAACAGCACGUGAAAUUGUUAAAAGGGAAGCGCUUGUGACCAGACUUGCGUCCGGUGAAUCACCCAGCUCUCGCGGCUGGGGCACUUCGCCGGCUCAGGCCAGCAUCAGCUCGCUGUCGGGGACAAAAGCUUCAGGAACGUAGCUCUCUUCGGGGAGUGUUAUAGCCUGUUGCAUAAUACCCUUCGGCGGGCUGAGGUACGCGCUCCGCAAGGAUGCUGGCAUAAUGGUCAUCAGCGACCCGUCUUGAAACACGGACCAAGGAGUCAACCUUAUGUGCGAGUG
Molecule: ribosomal RNA, 325 nt
Filed under: Colletotrichum tropicale
Lineage: Eukaryota; Fungi; Ascomycota; Sordariomycetes; Glomerellales; Glomerellaceae
Description: partial large subunit ribosomal RNA
Rfam family: Eukaryotic large subunit ribosomal RNA
Source: RNAcentral